CUGAAACUCUCUUCAGUCAAACUUUUCUCUUUACCCCAAAGCAUGUGCAGCAUUGGCACAGCAAAGCCAAUUGGCUUCCCCAAAUCCUUGCCACUCAGCAGUGCAUCUCACCUCUGACCUAGAGGAAAGCACAUCAAGGAGUAAUAGCAGGGCUCAGUCUCCAUGGCCCAUUCAGUCCUUGGGCUCU
Chelonoidis abingdonii (Abingdon island giant tortoise) is the source of this 187-nucleotide unclassified non-coding RNA. Lineage: Eukaryota; Metazoa; Chordata; Testudines; Testudinidae. The record is from Ensembl.